Non-coding RNA from Aedes albopictus (Asian tiger mosquito), 118 nucleotides. The record is from Rfam. Lineage: Eukaryota; Metazoa; Arthropoda; Insecta; Diptera; Culicidae.
UGCCCAGCAACUCCUAUCCCUUCCUCCACGCGGUACCGGCCGGAAACUAUGAGCAACCUUAGGGAAGAUCGGGUAACCAACCCCGGUGGGAACUUUGGUCGUAGGCUGACAGGGAAGG